UGUGGUUUAAUUCGAUGCAACGCGAAGAACCUUACCUGGUCUUGACAUCCACAGAAGAAUCCAGAGAUGGAUUGGUGCCUUCGGGAACUGUGAGACAGGUGCUGCAUGGCUGUCGUCAGCUCGUGUUGUGAAAUGUUGGGUUAAGUCCCGCAACGAGCGCAACCCUUAUCCUUUGUUGCCAGCGAUUAGGUCGGGAACUCAAAGGAGACUGCCAGUGAUAAACUGGAGGAAGGUGGGGAUGACGUCAAGUCAUCAUGGCCCUUACGACCAGGGCUACACACGUGCUACAAUGGCGCAUACAAAGAGAAGCGACCUCGCGAGAGCAAGCGGACCUCAUAAAGUGCGUCGUAGUCCGGAUUGGAGUCUGCAACUCGACUCCAUGAAGUCGGAAUCGCUAGUAAUCGUGGAUCAGAAUGCCACGGUGAAUACGUUCCCGGGCCUUGUACACACCGCCCGUCACACCAUGGGAGUGGGUUGCAAAAGAAGUAGGUAGCUUAACCUUCGGGAGGGCGCUUACCACUUUGUGAUUCAUGACUGGGGUGAAGUCGUAACAAGGUAACCGUAGGGGAACCUGCGGUUGGA
Molecule: ribosomal RNA, 582 nt
Filed under: Salmonella enterica subsp. enterica serovar Typhimurium
Lineage: Bacteria; Pseudomonadati; Pseudomonadota; Gammaproteobacteria; Enterobacterales; Enterobacteriaceae
Description: bacterial SSU rRNA
Rfam family: Bacterial small subunit ribosomal RNA
Source: RNAcentral